Molecule: long non-coding RNA, 648 nt
Organism: Aedes aegypti (yellow fever mosquito)
Lineage: Eukaryota; Metazoa; Arthropoda; Insecta; Diptera; Culicidae
Exons: 2
Source: RefSeq, a predicted model, not a curated record
AUCCUUUUUUAAUCAUUGAGAAGCUUAAAAAAUAAUCGCUGCUGCAUUACAUUCUAUACUUCAUUAUGUUUAUUCUUGAUUUAUUUUUUGCUGUGCUUAUCGAAAGAAUCACGCUAAUUUUCGGACUUGUGCAAAUUUUAUUUUCUGGUUUCGUUUGCUUUCUAUCUCGAAGAAAUCAGCUCGCACUCUUCCAAAAAUCGUCAUUGUUGCUUGAAUUCAAUUAAUUGUGAUCGUCUAACAGUGCGAUAAGUGAAAACCACAAAAAAAAACAUGAACAUGACAAAAUUGCUCUGAACACUAUAUUUCGCAGUUUCAUAAUAAUCACCUGCCACCGCGAUUGUAUCCGCGAAGGUAUUGUAUCCAGCUCUCAUCCGGAACAACUUAAUCCUCCAAGGGAAUCCGCCGCGGAAAGCAUUACAAAGAUAUGAAUUGAUUGCUUAAAAUGGAAACGAGUUUUCUUUCUGGAGGAGUGCGUUCUGAACACCGUGAGCAAAUCGGCAAGGAUGUCGAUCGCGGAUCUUAUUCAAUGCGGGAACGGUCCGGAAAAAAAAAUCGAAAUAGCAAACGGCUAAGCCAAUCUGUUAAGAAUUCGGUGUGAGAUUUGAUUCAAUUGAAAAUAAAUGCUUUACUUGCUGUUUCACUUCCUCA